AUGGAGCCCAAGCCAGGUAGUGACCUCCGACCAAAUAUGUUGCGUUUAUCUAUAGUGACAAAUGAGGUGCACCACAGACUCCUGGAGAUUGCUUACAUAGGGAGCACAACCCAUGGUUUGGCAAUUUACGACGAAGCAAGUAUUGGCGGUCCAGACUCUAUCCUGCAUGAUAAGCCAGGUAAAGAAAUUGCACCUGGGGGUGGGGGAGCCCAGGCCCUCCACACUGUGGGAACCAUGGUCGUGGAGGCCGACCCAACAAAUUGCACCUUGUAUGCCGAGGUCAUCGAGUACUCCCCAUUGGCAAUGAAUUUCCACGUAACGGAGUCCAGGAUUCCUUGGUUGAGGUGA
RNAcentral lists this ribosomal RNA (348 nucleotides) under Triticum aestivum (bread wheat). Its description in RNAcentral is "partial small subunit ribosomal RNA". Lineage: Eukaryota; Viridiplantae; Streptophyta; Magnoliopsida; Poales; Poaceae. The record is from RNAcentral.